RNAcentral lists this ribosomal RNA (423 nucleotides) under uncultured Bacteroidota bacterium. RNAcentral describes it as "bacterial SSU rRNA". It matches the Rfam family "Bacterial small subunit ribosomal RNA", at positions 355 to 774 of the family's 1533-position model. The record is from RNAcentral. Lineage: Bacteria; Pseudomonadati; Bacteroidota.
UAGGGAAUAUUGGACAAUGGACGCAAGUCUGAUCCAGCCAUGCCGCGUGGAGGAUGACUGCCCUCUGGGUUGUAAACUCCUUUUGUACAGGAAGAAACCUCCUCAUUUAUGAGUGAGCUGACGGUACUGUAAGAAUAAGCACCGGCUAACUCCGUGCCAGCAGCCGCGGUAAUACGGAGGGUGCAAGCGUUAUCCGGAUUCACUGGGUUUAAAGGGUGCGUAGGCGGUUUGAUAAGUCAGUGGUGAAAUCAACGGGCUCAACCUGUUAACUGCCAUUGAUACUGUUAGACUUGAAUUUGGUAGAGGUAGGCGGAAUGAUGCAUGUAGCGGUGAAAUGCUUAGAUAUGCUUCGGAACACCGAUUGCGAAGGCAGCUUACUAUGUCAAGAUUGACGCUGAGGCACGAAAGCGUGGGUAGCGAACA